AUGAGCUGUAGAUGAAAUUACUUUUUGAACUUUAAACCUAUAUUCCCAGAACCCCAAACCACCAAACCACAAAAUCUGAAACUGGGAGAAAGAAGGAAACGAAGAAGAACAAGGAGGAAGAAGAAUCAGGUGAUUUGACGAAAGAGGAAACGAAGUAAGAUUUUCGGUUCUGCCAAUCCUCUUCAGUUAUCGCUUCCCCUUCGUCUCUGAGAUUCACCGUCUGCAACUGAAGUAGCGCCCUCCCGUUCUUGCUUGAGCUCUGGUGAACCUCUAGCUCAAACGGUAGAGCACGUGGGGUUACACCUAUGAUAUGGUGGUUCAAAUCCACCAAGGCUUUGUCAUAUCGUAUUGCCCUUUGAAUGAUUAUUUGGUUUUCCACUUGGAUGUCCCUUUUUUCCUUUUCCUUUUUGUUUUUUUGGCCAUCUCUAAAGUAAGCACCUUCUGAGUAUGUUGAAGUUGAAUACAUCAUUGGAUUUGGUAUUUCAAAACUUCAUGAAUGAGAUAUAAGGGAACUUAUAGUUUCCCUUUUGCACCACUAUAAUAUUUACUUCAAUAAAAUAUACAAAAGAGUUGAAUUACAAAA
This is a long non-coding RNA of Macadamia integrifolia, 583 nucleotides long. RefSeq lists it as uncharacterized. The transcript is spliced from 2 exons. Lineage: Eukaryota; Viridiplantae; Streptophyta; Magnoliopsida; Proteales; Proteaceae. The record is from RefSeq and is a predicted model, not a curated record.